CAGAGUUAUCCAACUCCCAAACCCAUGUGAACUUAUCCCUUUGUUGCCUCGGCGCAAGCUACCCGGGACCUCGCGCCCCGGGCGGCCCGCCGGCGGACAAACCAAAACUCUUGUUAUCUUAGUUGAUUAUCUGAGUGUCUUAUUUAAUAAGUCA
Molecule: unclassified non-coding RNA, 154 nt
Filed under: soil metagenome
Description: partial internal transcribed spacer 1
Source: RNAcentral